CUAUACUGCAAGUCGAGCGGACCGACGGGAGCUUGCUCCCUUAGGUCAGCGGCGGACGGGUGAGUAACACGUGGGUAACCUGCCUGUAAGACUGGGAUAACUCCGGGAAACCGGGGCUAAUACCGGAUGCUUGAUUGAACCGCAUGGUUCAAUCAUAAAAGGUGGCUUUUAGCUACCACUUGCAGAUGGACCCGCGGCGCAUUAGCUAGUUGGUGAGGUAACGGCUCACCAAGGCGACGAUGCGUAGCCGACCUGAGAGGGUGAUCGGCCACACUGGGACUGAGACACGGCCCAGACUCCUACGGGAGGCAGCAGUAGGGAAUCUUCCGCAAUGGACGAAAGUCUGACGGAGCAACGCCGCGUGAGUGAUGAAGGUUUUCGGAUCGUAAAACUCUGUUGUUAGGGAAGAACAAGUACCGUUCGAAUAGGGCGGUACCUUGACGGUACCUAACCAGAAAGCCACGGCUAACUACGUGCCAGCAGCCGCGGUAAUACGUAGGUGGCAAGCGUUGUCCGGAAUUAUUGGGCGUAAAGCGCGCGCAGGCGGUUUCUUAAGUCUGAUGUGAAAGCCCCCGGCUCAACCGGGGAGGGUCAUUGGAAACUGGGGAACUUGAGUGNANAAAAAGAGAGUGGAAUUCCACGUGUAGCGGUGAAAUG
RNAcentral lists this ribosomal RNA (657 nucleotides) under Bacillus licheniformis. RNAcentral's name for it is "bacterial SSU rRNA". It matches the Rfam family "Bacterial small subunit ribosomal RNA", at positions 49 to 688 of the family's 1533-position model. The record is from RNAcentral. Lineage: Bacteria; Bacillati; Bacillota; Bacilli; Caryophanales; Bacillaceae.